RNAcentral lists this long non-coding RNA (362 nucleotides) under Oryctolagus cuniculus (rabbit). RNAcentral describes it as "lncRNA (ENSOCUG00000038213.1)". Lineage: Eukaryota; Metazoa; Chordata; Mammalia; Lagomorpha; Leporidae. The record is from RNAcentral.
GAUGAGGUUCUUGGAGAAGGCACCUUGAGUCUGGCGCCUUAGACCGCUUGGCCAUCCUGACACAGAAGGCACCUUGUACACAGCACUGCUCCUUUAACGAUGAUCUUGUUCUCACGCAUCGGUGGACUCCGGCUAUGUGCUGGGCACGAGCAGACCGGGAAGCAAAGCCUCUCUGAUACCAUCAUUUGCAAAGCCCCAACUUCUUCUGCAUCACUGUUUGGACCAGAAUUCAGCCCCACCUGGCGUCACGCAGGGAACAGCAGGCAGGCCCUGCCCGGGAGUCUCGUAACUGAGGAUGAAGCCGAGAGAGGAACAGCUGCUGCCCUUUUUUGUGCCAUUGGGAGAAUAAGAACUCCCUGAAG